This 389-nucleotide ribosomal RNA is filed under the name uncultured bacterium. Its description in RNAcentral is "bacterial SSU rRNA". It matches the Rfam family "Bacterial small subunit ribosomal RNA", at positions 29 to 416 of the family's 1533-position model. The record is from RNAcentral.
AACGAACGCUGGCGGCGUGCCUAACACAUGCAAGUCGGACGAGAAAGUUCCUUUCGGGGAACGAGUACAGUGGCGCACGGGUGAGUAACACGUUGACAACCUGCCUUCCAGUCCGGGACAACCCCGCGAAAGCGAGGCUAAUACCGGAUAAUAAGCCGGGCCGCAUGGCUUGGUUUUGAAAGACUUGUCUCUGGAAGAGGGGUCUGCGGGACAUUAGCUAGUUGGCGGGGUAACGGCCCACCAAGGCUAUGAUGCCUAGCGGGUCUGAGAGGAUGAUCCGCCACACUGGAACUGAGACACGGUCCAGACUCCUACGGGAGGCAGCAGUGGGGAAUUUUGCGCAAUGGGCGAAAGCCUGAUCCAGCCAUGCCGCGUGAGUGAUGAAGGCC